Molecule: ribosomal RNA, 484 nt
Filed under: uncultured bacterium
Lineage: Bacteria
Description: bacterial SSU rRNA
Rfam family: Bacterial small subunit ribosomal RNA
Source: RNAcentral
AUUGAACGCUGGCGGCAUGCCUUACACAUGCAAGUCGAACGGCAGCACGGGUGCAAUCCUGGUGGCGAGUGGCGAACGGGUGAGUAAUAUAUCGGAACGUGCCCAGUCGUGGGGGAUAACGUAGCGAAAGCUACGCUAAUACCGCAUACGAUCUACGGAUGAAAGCGGGGGAUCGCAAGACCUCGCGCGAUUGGAGCGGCCGAUAUCAGAUUAGCUAGUUGGUGGGGUAAAAGCUCACCAAGGCGACGAUCUGUAGCUGGUCUGAGAGGACGACCAGCCACACUGGAACUGAGACACGGUCCAGACUCCUACGGGAGGCAGCAGUGGGGAAUUUUGGACAAUGGGCGCAAGCCUGAUCCAGCAAUGCCGCGUGCAGGAUGAAGGCCUUCGGGUUGUAAACUGCUUUUGUACGGAACGAAACGGUGAGCUCUAAUAAAGCUUGCUAAUGACGGUACCGUAAGAAUAAGCACCGGCUAACUACGUG